ACCGGGCACGGUGACGCGUGCCUGUCAUCCCAGAGAUCCGGGAGGCUGAGGCAGGAGGAUUGCAGGUUUGAGGCCAGCCUCAGCAACAGUAAGAUUCUGUCUCAA
RNAcentral lists this small RNA (105 nucleotides) under Marmota monax (woodchuck). Lineage: Eukaryota; Metazoa; Chordata; Mammalia; Rodentia; Sciuridae. The record is from RNAcentral.